This 6335-nucleotide long non-coding RNA is filed under the name Sus scrofa (pig). Its description in RNAcentral is "lncRNA (ENSSSCG00000060026.1)". The record is from RNAcentral. Lineage: Eukaryota; Metazoa; Chordata; Mammalia; Artiodactyla; Suidae.
CAUACAUACAUACAUACAUAUGUGUGUGUGUGUGUGUGUAUACCCUAACAUAUACACUUUAACGCAUCCUAUAGUGCUGUAGUGUCCUGGAGACUGAAAUCCUGUGAGCAACAUUCCUGUGGAUAAUAUGCUUCCAAAAUGAAGAACAAAGGUAAAAUUCUGAACAAAACAAAGCACAGUCUUCCCUGCAUUCACAGAAGUUGAAUUCUUAGAAAAUUCAGUGGAUAUUAAAACUGUACAACCAAUACUUUGUGUUUGUAUGUUGAGAGGAAUUAGGUUCCGGGUUUAGACAAUUAAAAAUAGGUUUUUCAACCCUUUGGAAAGUCAUGGGAGGAAUGAACCGAGUCUUCCUGGUGUGGAGCUGAGCUCUGCCCUGCAGGAUGCCCAGCCUCCUCCUGCCCAUGGUUGUCAGUAGGGUUCCCAGCCAGCACCCAUCAUUGUGACAACCCCCAAAGCCCCCUAUAUGUUUCCAAAACACCUAUGGGGGUAAUAACUCCCCCUGAGAGCCACUGGCAGAGAAGGUGAGUGGGGUAGAGCAGUGCUUCUCAAACUUCAGAAUCUCCUGGGCUUCUUGCUAAGAUGUGGGAGGUGUGCUGUGGAGCCUGGGACUCUGCAUUUCCACCACAGCCCUCAAGCGAUGUUGGAGAGAUCAGAGGAGAAGGAAAGCAAGUCCUUGUUCUGGGAGCAAGGACUUCACAGAAUAGAAGGGAACACAAACAGGGGCUUGAAGAAUAAACGGCCGUGGAGCUGUUGACCUCCCGGGAGGCCCAGGCUCCUGGGAGGCAGGCACUGGAGAGGUCCGGUAGCAAAAGGUGCCGACAACGGUGCCCGGAGCGAGUAAACAGCCUUGAGUCAACAGCGGCAGUACUGCUCGCCAGGCAGGGUAAAAAUAACAACUCCCUAUCAGGAUUGGGUUGGCCAGACCCUCGUGAGGUUCAUUUCGUUCAAUAAAUCCAGCAGCCUCCCCCUUUGAUAAAUACUGUCAAGGCCGAAACAUGUGGUGCUCACAAAAUAUGGUUUUAAUUUGGGGCCCACUGCACUCACGGUUAAACCCGGUGCGUGUGUAUACAAAAGCCGACGUACAGCCAGCCAAGUUAAUAUGCCUGGGCUGGAAAUGGCUAAACCCAGGAGGAUUCAGUUAUAUAGAUUCUGCUGCUCUGAAAGGCAACCUAAUCACCGUCAUCAAUUUUAAUGCUCCAGAAUUCCGUGUGAACACGGAAGCUUUUAAAGCUCAGCCACUUGUGCAUUUUGCAUCCCAGGCAGAAGCAGCACGCACUUGUUUUCGUGAUAUUUUAUGCCUGCCUUAUUGUCAUAUGUUUGACAUUCAGAACAAACCACGCUGUUUUCAUCAACAACUCGACACUGCAUUAAAACUUGAUGGCCCGUAGCUUUGUAGGAAAGGGAGGUGGGGAUGGAGGGGAAAGCCAGGGUGGGCACAGGAAAUGAGAAUCACAGUUUAGCAACAGACUGAGGCUUGUUCUGGUGGGAUUCGUUCCUGGGAACACAGAAACUCUCAGUGUUUUUGUCAAUCUGCGUGUGCCGGUCUUGGAACAGCUCGGUGAAAGAAGGAAACUGGCUCAACAAGUUUCGGAGGUGGACCCUGCUGGUAACUGGACCUCUGGCUCGUUGUGAAUAAUGAAGAAGUCCGCUCCAUCCACAGGGCAGGUCACAGGAGCUGCACGGAGGCAAGAGCCCAGCAGACCAAAGAUUACAGCACCUGCCCAGUAAUCUUAUCGGGGAAACAAACAAAGCUGAGAAUGAGGUCAGCGGCAGGUGUCCUGGGGCGGUGGGACGCAGAGCAAGUGAGGAAGAUGGGUGGAGAGUGGGGGCAUCUGCCAGAGAAGCUCUAGCCUUUAGAGGACUGGCUCACCAGGAAGGUGAGACUGAGAAAAGUGAGCUGAAUGUCUCAUAAAACAAGCAAGGAGUGAACUGACUUCCCUAAAAAACUAGUGCUUUAUCACAAAGGGCACCUGGGUAUGAAAAAAGAACUGAUGGGGAUUCUUUCCACAGGAAUCUGCCCUGUUGCAUUUUUAAAUUCAUCAGAAGUCUGUUUCUCUUUUUAUCGUUAGAUGUAAUUGCACUGACAGAAAAAACCUGAAAUGCUGUGAGCAGCAACUUCUCAGUCAGUCACUUGUCACGGAAGGAACUUUCCAAGGGGGCGAAGUUUUGUGGAAAUCCUUAAACUUUGAAUAUCCAUGCUUAUUUUAUUUUGUGUGUGUGUGUGUGUGUGGCAAAGUGAGGCACGCCUAUUGUGGAAAAAACAUGAGCUCUUAAAACAUGCAGACAUUUUUGAAAGAUCAGGGUGAGUUCUCUUAAUUGCUUAGGGAAGUCUUGCUGAGCUAGCUUAGAACCAUCGGGUUCAAGCUGGAAGGGGCUGAGGAGCCAUCAUUGAGGACUGAGUGAAUUGAGGGACUCCCAAGGUGUUCUCCAGUGGCCUCUGGGGUCCACUAUGUUUUCUUGGGUUUCCUGGAAGGGGAGAGAAAAGGAAGCCUCCACCUCCCCCACCAAAUGCUGCUGGAUGGUUUGGAGCCAUGGGGGCUGCUGGUCAGUUCACGGCCAAGCCAAGUGAACAUUUAGAAGCAUUGCUGCAUCUGGUGGGUCUUUGUUUUUCCUUGGAUUGCUUCCUCACUUAUGGAAGAGAUGGAGAGGAGGACCUGGCCAUUUAUCCAGGAAAAGAAGUCAGAUCUCUAAUGGUACAGAGAGUGUGUACCAUUAGGAAGAGCAGGGGAUAAGAAGAUUCGUUCGUGAGCAUUCAUCACAGAGAUGAAAUGCUAUAGGGACAAGAGGUCAGAGGGCAUUUAACCCAAACCAAAUUUAUCAAGUGGAACAAGUCUCUAAUUGGAGGCCUGGAUUCCACAUUAAAAAGCCAUUCUCCACUGGAUACCUUUUUAAGAUACCAUGGUGGUAUUGAAAUUUCAUGGAUUUCACUCAUGGCAGGUCCCCAAGCACCAUCACCAUGAAGCAAGGAUACCAUGGAGCACCUGCCUCCAGCAGCCCUGAGCCAAGGGGCUAAGUGGAAAAAGAAACAGUGUUUCUCCUUCAGGCUCCCUGCUUCUCUACUUUGUAAACUUUUAACCUCUUCAAGGUACCUUUCUUCUAGUCUCUUCCAGUAACCAUCUUAGUGGGCGUCAGUUGUUUCUGUCCCAGCAUGUAUCUGCCUUCCAGUGAAGAACCCCCCAGAUAUUUAUCAGGGGAAAGCUGCUCCCCCACUCCCAGUCCCUGAGGAUCUGGUGAAACUGACACCACUUUGACUGCUGGGUGGAGCAUAUGAACCACUCUUAGGCCAAUCACUUCAUCCUAUUUCAUGGCCAUGUAAUUGGUCCUGGAUGGGCACAUGACUCAGGCAGAACCUAUGAGAGGCAGUGAGAUUUUCGUGGGUAUUUCUGGGAAAUAGGCUUGCACUUUCUCCUCUGGACUGGACCCCUGAGAAGAUGCAAGACUGAAUGAACUCUUGCAGUCACAGGAAGCUGAGAUUAAUUCUGUCAAUGCAAUAGACAGGUCUGAAAGCUGGGGCCAAAAAAAGAAAAACUAAUAUUGUGCUAAUACUGUGUGAGCCCUAAAUCCAGCGAUGCCUGGAGCCAGCCCUACCAUGGAAUGUUAAGCUAGGCUUGUCAAUAAAUUCUCCUUUGGCUUAAGCCAAAAUUGUGACAGAUUUCCUACAUUGUAAUCAGAAGACAGAUAUACCCAGGAACCUCUAGUUCUUCAUCAUUAAUGCCUAUCAAAAUUUGCUUUCAGGAAAGGCUUGUCCAUUCUAAAUUAUGAAUGACCAAUCAUGCUUCAGAGUAUGGCUCCUUCAAGAGGAUUUUCAGUUUUCAUCAAACUUUCGUUCAGUAAAUGUUGAGCCUCUUCUGGUGCAAAGAGACAUGGGAGAGUGUACUUGGAGGGAAGGAUAGCCAAACUGUCCCACUGAACUCAAUACUUUAGUGUCUGAUUUUGGCCCAUUCAGAUCGGUUUGCACUUCUGAUCAUGGCUGAGUGAGUAGUAUCUGACUAACCCUUCUGCCAAAAACAGUGAUAAAUUCUCAACCCCAGAUAGGACAAUAACAACAAAAUCUAUCUUAGGGUUCUAGAAAGCAACCAAAAUGGUGGGGUUCUGAAGACAAAAGCAGGAGAAUAUAAUACCAUUGGAAGAAGGGCAUUCCACUGGGUGACAUCCACAUUGCGCAGGCAUUUCUUCUGACAGCCCUCUCCUCCUCCCAGAUGGCAGGAAACAGAGCUCAAGGGGAGAGCGGCAGUCCUAUUGAGCAGAGGAGUUGGAAGUUGUAGUUGGGGGUUUCCACAGCAGCUGGAAACUGGGGAAGAAGGCAUCUUGGAAAGGAGGGGGCCUCAAGGUGGGGCACUCCCAAAUCUAUGUACAAACAGCCCUCAGAUCCUCAGCUGACUCCUGAACUGUGCCUCUGCAGGGUGAGGUGCAGGGAGCUCAGGAAAGAGCAUCAUUGGAAGUUGGAAGGCCAUUUUUAUGGCUGCCUUGUGUUGGGAGAUGGAGCUGAGAGUUCAAUUCCCACCCAGUUAGAGGGCUCUGGUAAGCAUCUAAGACUUUCUAUCGAGAUUACAGAGGGCACACCUUAGGAGUAAGAACUACUUAUUAUUUCCCAGGAAUAAAGGCAAAGCCUAAAUAGACCCACCCUAACAGAGCUUCAUUCCAAUUCUUUAUAACUACACUAUUCAAUAAAAUAACCUCUAGGUACAUGUGGCCUUUGAAAUUUAGUUCAAAUUAAAUAAAAUUUAAAAUGCAGUUCCUGAGUCACACUGGUCAUAUUUUAAAUACAGCCACUUGCGGUUAAUGUCCAUUUCAUUGGGCUGCACAGAGUAUAGACCAUUUCUAUCACAGAAGUUCUAUUGAAAGCUAUAGCUCAAGAGGAUCAAAAUGAUAUGUUAGUAGUUUAACUUGUGACAAAUCUCAACUUUCCUUUCAGAUGGCAGAAUCUAAAAUCUCUUUACUAUCCAUAAAGCUCAGUAAACAAUUUUAAAAAAUUACUAAAUGUGCAAAGAAGAAGGAAAAUGCAAUCCACAGUGAAGAGAAACAAUAGUCAAUAAGCACAGACCCACAUAUGACUCAGAUGUUAGCACUAACAAAGUCUUAAUAAUUAUGAUAAAAAAUUUAAGAAAUCUUUGGGAAAAUAUGCAUAUAUUAGGUGAAGAGAUGGGAAACUUCAAAAGUAGUAUGAAAAAAUUAAAAAAAUAAUCAAAUGGAAAUCCUGGAACUGAAAAAUAUAUCAAAUUGAAAACUCACUGGUUAGGUACAAUGAACACAAUACAUGAAAUUACAAACAAGUGAAUUUACCGACAAGUCAAUGGGAAUUAUCUAAACAAAGAGGGAUAAAAAGAUUAAAAGAAAAAGAACAAGGCCUUAUUACCUGUGGGACAGUAUCAAGCAAUCUGAAUUACAUGUAAUUAGAGUCCCAGAAGGAGAGGAGAGCAGAUGAAGUAGAAAAAAAUAUUUGAAGAAAUAUUGGAAAAAUUUCAAACCUGGUUAAAAAAAUUACAACCUCAGAAACUCCAAAUAGGAUAGUUUCAGCCAUUUAGAUGUCUUUGACUCCAAACCCAGCCUUACCCACUCAACUGACAAGACACAGAAGAACUUCUGAAAGUGCAAUAGGGCCUGGGAUAGGAUUAUUCAGGGACAGCACUGAUGCUGACAAAGUUUCAAAGAUCUCUUCCCAGAAUUUUGCUGACUCCAAAAAGCAACAGAUUACGCUUUUCUGAGCCAGUUGUGAUCUGACAUUCCUCUUUCAGGCUACCCUGAGAUGGGGUCUUCACACAUUUUGCAUUGAUUUGACUCCAGUUUUUUAUUUUAUUUUGUUUUUAUUUAUUUAUUUAUUUAUUUAUGUCUUUUUUUAAGGCCGCACCUGCAGCAUAUGAAAGUUCCCAGGCUGGGAGGUCUCCUGGAGCUGUGGCUGCCGGCCUAUACCACAGCUGCAGCAACUCGGGAUAUGAACCACAUCUGUGACCUAUACCACAGCUCACGGCAAUGCCAGAUCCUCAACCCACUGAGCGAGGCUAGGGAUUGAACCUGCAUCCUCAUGGAUACUAGCUGGGUUCAUUACUGCUGAGCCACAACUGGAAUUCCCCAAUUCCAGUUUAAAUUCAACUUGAAGGAGUUCCCGUCAUGGCGCAGUGGUUAAUGAAUCCGACUAGGAACCAUGAGGUUGCGGGUUCGAUCCCUGCCCUUGCUCAGUGGGUUAACGAUCUGGCGUUGCCGUGAGCUGUGGUGUAGGUUGCAGACGCGGCUCGGAUCCUGAGUUGCUGUGGCUCUGGCAUAGGCUGGCAGCUACAGCUCCGAUUAGACCCCUAGCCUGGGAACCUCCAUAUGCUGCGGAAGCGGCCCAAGAAAUG